RNAcentral lists this ribosomal RNA (433 nucleotides) under uncultured bacterium. RNAcentral describes it as "partial 16S ribosomal RNA". It matches the Rfam family "Bacterial small subunit ribosomal RNA", at positions 29 to 507 of the family's 1533-position model. The record is from RNAcentral.
AACGAACGCUGGCGGCAUGCCUAACACAUGCAAGUCGAACGAGACCUUCGGGUCUAGUGGCGCUCGGCUGCGUACCGCGUGGGAAUCUGCCCUUGGGUUCGGUGCCCCUGUUGGAAACGUCUGCUCAUACAGCUUGAUGUCGUAAGGCCAAAGAUCUAUUGCUCAGGGAUGAGCCCGCGUAGGUUUAGCCAGUUGGUGGGGUACUGGCAUGCCAAGGCGACGAUCCUUAGCUGGUCUGAGAGGAGGACCAGCCAGACUGGGACUGAGACACGGCCCAGACUGGUACGGGAGGGAGCAGUAGGGAAUAUUGGACGAUGGGCGAAAGCCUGAUCCAGCAAUGCCGCGUGAGUGAUGAAGGGGGUAGGAUUGUAAAGCUCUUUUAGCCGAGACGAUAAUGACGGUACCGGGAGAAUAAGCCCCGGCUAACUCUGUG